Molecule: long non-coding RNA, 1968 nt
Organism: Musa acuminata AAA Group (dessert banana)
Lineage: Eukaryota; Viridiplantae; Streptophyta; Magnoliopsida; Zingiberales; Musaceae
Exons: 2
Source: RefSeq, a predicted model, not a curated record
CCAUACAACAGCUCCCUCCUAGUGGCGGUCUAUCUCUGCGGAUGCUCCUCUCUCCUUUUCGUUUUCCGUUCUUCCCUCCAUCACCACCAUCUCCCACAGCCGGCGGCGGCGCCGCAGCAGCAGCAUCAGGCGAUUCCCUUCAGGUUCUGCAAUCCGGUUCCCUUCCCCAAUUUCCUGCUCGCAAGAAAGUGGUUAAUCCAUUUCUCGUCGGCAAAAACGAUUGAUGGCCCAACCUCCGCGCCAAUCGACUUAAGCCUUGCCGCUUGCCCUGAUCCGUCCAAACCUUCCUGUAAUCCACUUUUCUCCCUUCCCCGACCUAUUUCCAGGGUUUCAUCUCGGUUCGUGCAGUGCUGACCCUCUCCCGUUCUCGUUCUUCCUGUUUGGCUUCGAUCGGUAGUCAUCCAUGUCAUGGGCCUCGUCCCCGGCGCAGGGUCCACGGCCGCUGUCGUUGGCGGAUGGAGCUGCUGGGAGCUGAAGAGGAAGCGCCCCAAGGAGCAGGACCUCCUGGAGAACUCGCAACUUUCCUCCAGCCGCGAUCGGUCUCCACUGGGUUAGGGCUCUCAUUGGACGACCGGAGGGUCGCAUCUUCGUCCGGGGAGUGGCCUCUUAUCAUCCUCCCGACGAUCGACGAGGACAUUGAUCGCGAGGUGCGGCGGAUCGACGCGGAUAUCGAUUGGUUCAUCAAGUUCGAGGGUGGUGGUUAUUGUUAAGAGUUAAGGAAACUAUCUGUACAGGAUUGGUAUUGUCCAAAUCUCGGUCCAUCAAACUAUCUGCACAGGAUUCACAGAAACGUUCAUGUGUAAUGAGCAGCGACCAUUGGACAUCUGAUAUCCUUGUUGCAAUCUCUACCAACUGAUCUAUGGUGAGACACAUUUUGCAGAAUGUAAGACUUUCUGGGCCAAGUUCAAGGUCAUUACAAGUAGCACCAUUCACUCCAAUCUUUGGCAUAUUAACUAAUGCAAAUACCAGUUGCUUCAGAACCGAUUUGUUCCUACAAUGCCAAGAGAGCUGCCUCCGAUCAUCACCCCUGUUAAUUGCUCGCAGAGAGGACAUUGUCUAGGCUACGUUCACAGCCACAUGAGGUGUUGGUCAAGCACGAGAAAGGACAGGAGAGUCUGUCUUAUAUCUGUGGAACCAAAUUUUACGUGAUUUCUUCGGUGUUUAUACCGAAUGCCAAGAAUGACUUGUUCAGGUAAUACAUCUUUCUUGCUUUUCUUUCCAUCUUCUAUGCAGUUUCGAUAUAAUGAAUUAGGCUCAUCUUUAAAUAUUGGAUAUUUGAACUCACUGCUUUGUUUAGCACUUGAAUUAAUUGAUUAUAAUCUCUGCAAAUCAUCAGGAAUGAUAAGCAUUUGACACGGGAAACAAGUCUAGCAUUAUACUUUCUUUAGAAUCUCAAGUUGUAUCAUCUCAUGAUUUUAUGAUCCUACAUACCCAAAAUAAACCAAAUAUUGAUUAUAAUAUCUGGACAGGAUCUAUAUCGAAAUCUUAUCAUACGGUAGGGAAAUUUCUCUCUUUUUUUUCUUUUAGAAUUAUAUGUUUCUUGAUUUGUUUAUUGCAUACUUAAGAGACUCUUUGUUCGAGCACUCUCAACAUCCUGCCUUUUUUUGGCUUAGCUGUUGGUAUGGUGUCACUCAUUUGACAUCAUGAUUUAUGCAUCUUAUUUUAUGCUGUAUGUUGUGAUUCACUUUCUUCUGCAUUUGGACUAAUUUUAUUAUGACAACAUGAUAGAUGUCGGUACACAACAAUCAUGCAUUUUGUUAUUCAAUCAAUACAUGGAAGCUGUCAAGGCGCAGACCAAAUUAUCAUCACUAAGCCUUCUUUUGUAUCCUCUAGUGUUGCUCAAGUUGCUCCCAUUAUUUAUUUUCUUUUAGAAGGUUGAUCGUGACAUCCAGCUUAUCAAAGUCCCAGAUAUUGUAAUCAUCAACAGUUUGUAAUGCCUCACUAAACCCCAUCAAGCUUUCAUUUUAA